AGACGGAGGGUGCAAGCGUUAAUCGGAAUUACUGGGCGUAAAGCGCUCGUAGGCGGCUUGUUAAGUCGGAUGUGAAAGCCCUGGGCUCAACCUGGGAACUGCAUUCGAUACUGUAUAGCUAGAGUUUGGUAGAGGGAAGUGGAAUUCCACAUGUAGCGGUGAAAUGCGUAGAUAUGUGGAGGAACACCAGUGGCGAAGGCGACUUCCUGGACCAAAACUGACGCUGAGGUGCGAAAGCGUGGGUAGCAAACAGGAUUAGAAACCCGGGUAGUCC
RNAcentral lists this ribosomal RNA (274 nucleotides) under uncultured bacterium. Its description in RNAcentral is "partial 16S ribosomal RNA". It matches the Rfam family "Bacterial small subunit ribosomal RNA", at positions 523 to 796 of the family's 1533-position model. The record is from RNAcentral.